Molecule: ribosomal RNA, 301 nt
Filed under: uncultured bacterium
Lineage: Bacteria
Description: partial 16S ribosomal RNA
Rfam family: Bacterial small subunit ribosomal RNA
Source: RNAcentral
CAGCCGCCCGGUAAUACAGAGGGUGCAAGCGUUAAUCGGAAUUACUGGGCGUAAAGCGCGCGUAGGUGGUUCGCCAAGUUGGAUGUGAAAUCCCCGGGCUCAACCUGGGAACUGCAUCCAAAACUGGCGAGCUAGAGUAUGGUAGAGGGUGGUGGAAUUUCCUGUGUAGCGGUGAAAUGCGUAGAUAUAGGAAGGAACAUCAGUGGCGAAGGCGACCACCUGGACUGAUACUGACACUGAGGUGCGAAAGCGUGGGGAGCAAACAGGAUUAGAUACCCCCGUAGUCCCUGUCUCUUAUACC